This 2333-nucleotide ribosomal RNA is filed under the name Escherichia coli 1-182-04_S1_C2. RNAcentral's name for it is "bacterial LSU rRNA". It matches the Rfam family "Bacterial large subunit ribosomal RNA", at positions 610 to 2925 of the family's 2925-position model. The record is from RNAcentral. Lineage: Bacteria; Pseudomonadati; Pseudomonadota; Gammaproteobacteria; Enterobacterales; Enterobacteriaceae.
GUAUAAUGGGUCAGCGACUUAUAUUCUGUAGCAAGGUUAACCGAAUAGGGGAGCCGAAGGGAAACCGAGUCUUAACUGGGCGUUAAGUUGCAGGGUAUAGACCCGAAACCCGGUGAUCUAGCCAUGGGCAGGUUGAAGGUUGGGUAACACUAACUGGAGGACCGAACCGACUAAUGUUGAAAAAUUAGCGGAUGACUUGUGGCUGGGGGGGAAAGGCCAAUCAAACCGGGAGAUAGCUGGUUCUCCCCGAAAGCUAUUUAGGUAGCGCCUCGUGAAUUCAUCUCCGGGGGUAGAGCACUGUUUCGGCAAGGGGGUCAUCCCGACUUACCAACCCGAUGCAAACUGCGAAUACCGGAGAAUGUUAUCACGGGAGACACACGGCGGGUGCUAACGUCCGUCGUGAAGAGGGAAACAACCCAGACCGCCAGCUAAGGUCCCAAAGUCAUGGUUAAGUGGGAAACGAUGUGGGAAGGCCCAGACAGCCAGGAUGUUGGCUUAGAAGCAGCCAUCAUUUAAAGAAAGCGUAAUAGCUCACUGGUCGAGUCGGCCUGCGCGGAAGAUGUAACGGGGCUAAACCAUGCACCGAAGCUGCGGCAGCGACGCUUAUGCGUUGUUGGGUAGGGGAGCGUUCUGUAAGCCUGUGAAGGUGUGCUGUGAGGCAUGCUGGAGGUAUCAGAAGUGCGAAUGCUGACAUAAGUAACGAUAAAGCGGGUGAAAAGCCCGCUCGCCGGAAGACCAAGGGUUCCUGUCCAACGUUAAUCGGGGCAGGGUGAGUCGACCCCUAAGGCGAGGCCGAAAGGCGUAGUCGAUGGGAAACAGGUUAAUAUUCCUGUACUUGGUGUUACUGCGAAGGGGGGACGGAGAAGGCUAUGUUGGCCGGGCGACGGUUGUCCCGGUUUAAGCGUGUAGGCUGGUUUUCCAGGCAAAUCCGGAAAAUCAAGGCUGAGGCGUGAUGACGAGGCACUACGGUGCUGAAGCAACAAAUGCCCUGCUUCCAGGAAAAGCCUCUAAGCAUCAGGUAACAUCAAAUCGUACCCCAAACCGACACAGGUGGUCAGGUAGAGAAUACCAAGGCGCUUGAGAGAACUCGGGUGAAGGAACUAGGCAAAAUGGUGCCGUAACUUCGGGAGAAGGCACGCUGAUAUGUAGGUGAAGUCCCUCGCGGAUGGAGCUGAAAUCAGUCGAAGAUACCAGCUGGCUGCAACUGUUUAUUAAAAACACAGCACUGUGCAAACACGAAAGUGGACGUAUACGGUGUGACGCCUGCCCGGUGCCGGAAGGUUAAUUGAUGGGGUCAGCGCAAGCGAAGCUCUUGAUCGAAGCCCCGGUAAACGGCGGCCGUAACUAUAACGGUCCUAAGGUAGCGAAAUUCCUUGUCGGGUAAGUUCCGACCUGCACGAAUGGCGUAAUGAUGGCCAGGCUGUCUCCACCCGAGACUCAGUGAAAUUGAACUCGCUGUGAAGAUGCAGUGUACCCGCGGCAAGACGGAAAGACCCCGUGAACCUUUACUAUAGCUUGACACUGAACAUUGAGCCUUGAUGUGUAGGAUAGGUGGGAGGCUUAGAAGUGUGGACGCCAGUCUGCAUGGAGCCGACCUUGAAAUACCACCCUUUAAUGUUUGAUGUUCUAACGUUGACCCGUAAUCCGGGUUGCGGACAGUGUCUGGUGGGUAGUUUGACUGGGGCGGUCUCCUCCUAAAGAGUAACGGAGGAGCACGAAGGUUGGCUAAUCCUGGUCGGACAUCAGGAGGUUAGUGCAAUGGCAUAAGCCAGCUUGACUGCGAGCGUGACGGCGCGAGCAGGUGCGAAAGCAGGUCAUAGUGAUCCGGUGGUUCUGAAUGGAAGGGCCAUCGCUCAACGGAUAAAAGGUACUCCGGGGAUAACAGGCUGAUACCGCCCAAGAGUUCAUAUCGACGGCGGUGUUUGGCACCUCGAUGUCGGCUCAUCACAUCCUGGGGCUGAAGUAGGUCCCAAGGGUAUGGCUGUUCGCCAUUUAAAGUGGUACGCGAGCUGGGUUUAGAACGUCGUGAGACAGUUCGGUCCCUAUCUGCCGUGGGCGCUGGAGAACUGAGGGGGGCUGCUCCUAGUACGAGAGGACCGGAGUGGACGCAUCACUGGUGUUCGGGUUGUCAUGCCAAUGGCACUGCCCGGUAGCUAAAUGCGGAAGAGAUAAGUGCUGAAAGCAUCUAAGCACGAAACUUGCCCCGAGAUGAGUUCUCCCUGACCCUUUAAGGGUCCUGAAGGAACGUUGAAGACGACGACGUUGAUAGGCCGGGUGUGUAAGCGCAGCGAUGCGUUGAGCUAACCGGUACUAAUGAACCGUGAGGCUUAACC